Molecule: small RNA, 1970 nt
Filed under: Oryza sativa Japonica Group (Japanese rice)
Lineage: Eukaryota; Viridiplantae; Streptophyta; Magnoliopsida; Poales; Poaceae
Description: sRNA Os04g0414900
Source: RNAcentral
CUUUUGCACGACUGUCAUAUGAAGCUUAGAGGUAGGAGAAGACAUGGCGAUGGCGAAGGAACUUACUGUUGCGUAGGGCCGGUGAGACGUGCAGAUGAUGGUGAUUGGAGACGAUGAAAGGGGAGGAGCUCCGAGCGGGUAGAAUUGCUCGGGGUCUUCUUGCUGGGUGGUGUGGUUGGACGGAGAAGAGAUGGCAAGUAUUUAUAGGGGGAUGAGAUGGGUGAGGGUGAGGGGGAGGUCAAUUGGUUUUCUUUAAUGCAGCAUUAAGAGUAUAGCAGUACUACUACUACUUCAUGUACUAGAGGCUAAGGAAGGACGCAUUUUAUUACCAAGGUAUUCAUGGCUGGAGAGUGGCAUGGUAGGGGUUGAAUAAUCUGUGUUGGGUGGGAGAGAAGUGCGAGGUGAGAGGCUUUAUGGUUGGUCAUAUACACAAGGCAAAGAAAUGUUUUUUUUUCAUUUAUCUGAAAGAAGAAAAUUUCCAGUGAUGAAUCUUCUCUUUUUUUUUCUUACUUCGGCGGUAGUUUUCUUUAGCCACAUGCUAGAUGACUGUGGCAAUCUCCCAACAGUGAGCCUGGUUGAAAAUUGUAACCCAUGAUAGGCAUGUCUAGUUUAAUUGUGCCAAAAGUUUGCUAGUGACUUAAUUACCUCCAGUAGAUUUUACAACUUUGUAGUGGCCAUGUAAGCAAGUUAGCUGGACUUAUUGGGUAAUUAUGACAAUUAUUUAUUAUUUUUAGGUGUGGAGUUGAAAGUUGAAACUCAUCAACUAUUUGUCCUUUUUGAUUGCUUCUAAAGAUUAUAGAAAUUUGACUGACCUCCAAUUCAUUUCACUACUUCAAUGUGGCCUUGAAUGGAAUUUAUUGGGCACACCAUCUCAAAUGCCCAGCAUUGCUGUCAAAAAAAAAAGGAGAGAAGAGAGAACUUGAAUGUUGAGCCAUGGUUAUGUUAAUCGAAUAAAUAGGUUUCUUGAAUAGAUAUGCUGCUAGUGCACCUUAUGCAAUUAGGUCUUUAAAUGGUGCAACGCAACACCUAUGUUCUUGCACGCACCGAUGCGUUGCUUCUGGUGCGCAUCUUGAUACAAUGACGACGAGAUAAGUAAUACAUUAAUGCCACUUUGUUUGAUGCACAUAAGAGCAGCACUUUGAAAUCUCAGCUCCGUUGGGGUUUUUCUUGUUUCCAGCUUGCAGUGUUUAAAUGCCGAGAGCAGAUAUUAAAUUCGUUAGUUGACUUGUUAGUGUUAUGGAGAUGUUGCAUCCUGAUUGUGUGACUUAAUCACCUUACAAUUAAGAAAAGGGUUAAACUUUGUAAAGUCAUACUAGUAUCAACCCACUAAUGUAAUCCCCGAGAUUGCUUACAUAUCCCACCUUGAUUAAUGAUGAUGACAUACAACUCACUUAAAGUUGUUUUGGUUUGUGUGUUGCAUUGGGUUUGGUCAAUGCUGCUACUCAUCAAGGUUAAGAGAUAGCCACCUGUAGAGAAAAUAAUUUGCCUCAGUUAGGACUAAUUCUAGCAUUAAUGCUCCCGUUUUGGGCAAAUAGAAGCAGUAAUGGAUGGUUUUGGGAUCCAGAGCCAACGCUAUCGGCCUCGGGAUCAAAGGUUUGAGUUCAGUUUACCUGAUUUUAUAAUAUUUCACCACCAUUCAUCAUGAUUCAUCGAUGAUGCGUCUAAAAUUGCAGGUAAAGUCUCGGAGUUGAAGGCAACUAUGAAGGCAAGGUUGACCCAAAUGCGAGCUCAUAACUGUGCCACUAGGUUAUUGCUUAGUACAGGAUAUGGUAUAUAAAUGUAUCUUUGCACGUAUAUAUUGCCAUUAGUCGGUGUAUGGGGGCCAAACCCAUGUGCUCUUCUUUAAUUCCAUGGUGGCAUCUAAGGAGCUUAAUUAGAGAUUAUGAGUGAAAAAUAAUCUCCACUGAGUUUUCUCGCGCCUUCUUGUUGUGGUUGCAAAGGCAAUGAGCUCCAAUGCAAAAUAGUUGGAU